GCCAGGUGUGGUGGUGGGCGCCUGUAAUCCCAGCUACUCGGGAGGCUGAGGCGGGAGAAUCACUUGAACCCGGGAUGCCUAGGUUGCAGUGGGCCGAGAUCGCACCACUGCACUCCAGCCAGGGUGACAAAGAGAGACUCCAUCUCAA
RNAcentral lists this non-coding RNA (148 nucleotides) under Pan troglodytes (chimpanzee). Lineage: Eukaryota; Metazoa; Chordata; Mammalia; Primates; Hominidae. The record is from Rfam by way of RNAcentral.